GGGGUUGUGGCUCAGUGUUAAGAGCACUUGCCUGGCAUGUGUGAGGCACUGGGUUCGAUCCUCAGCACCA
This 70-nucleotide transfer RNA is filed under the name Urocitellus parryii (Arctic ground squirrel). RNAcentral's name for it is "Spermophilus parryii (Arctic ground squirrel) tRNA". It matches the Rfam family "tRNA". Rfam says of the family: Transfer RNA (tRNA) molecules are approximately 80 nucleotides in length. Their secondary structure includes four short double-helical elements and three loops (D, anti-codon, and T loops). Lineage: Eukaryota; Metazoa; Chordata; Mammalia; Rodentia; Sciuridae. The record is from Rfam by way of RNAcentral. RNAcentral also lists the same sequence under 2 other names.